AAAGUCGUAACAAGGUUUCCGUAGGUGAACCUGCGGAAGGAUCAUCACCAAUUGCUUUGAAGUAUCUUUACGAUAUUUUGAUAAAAACCCCCACAUUGGUAGACUAUUGAAAUCACGUGAACUAGUCGGGCUUAGCGAGCAUAGAGCAAUCAGUUAUUUAUUUAGCUAGCUGCUCUUGCCCGGCCGGCUUUUUCUCUUAAACUAUAUUAAACUUUUAACCCAUUAGCCAUAACAAGAAUUCAUAAUAAAAUACAACUUUCAACAAUGGAUCUCUUGGCUCUU
This 282-nucleotide unclassified non-coding RNA is filed under the name Basidiomycota sp. Its description in RNAcentral is "partial contains small subunit ribosomal RNA, internal transcribed spacer 1, and 5.8S ribosomal RNA". The stretch from base 1 to 47 matches the Rfam family "Eukaryotic small subunit ribosomal RNA", at positions 1785 to 1831 of the family's 1831-position model. Lineage: Eukaryota; Fungi; Basidiomycota. The record is from RNAcentral.